UGCGGGGUGGAGCAGUCUGGUAGCUCGUUGGGCUCAUAACCCAAAGGUCGUAGGUUCGAAUCCUGCCCCCGCUACCA
This 77-nucleotide transfer RNA is filed under the name Gammaproteobacteria bacterium. RNAcentral's name for it is "tRNA-Met". It matches the Rfam family "tRNA". From Rfam's summary of the family: Transfer RNA (tRNA) molecules are approximately 80 nucleotides in length. Their secondary structure includes four short double-helical elements and three loops (D, anti-codon, and T loops). RNAcentral also lists the same sequence under 5 other names. The record is from RNAcentral. Lineage: Bacteria; Pseudomonadati; Pseudomonadota; Gammaproteobacteria.